AAUAGAUACCCAGGUAGUCCACGCCGUAAACGUUGGAUACUAGGUGUGGCGGUUAUACCAAUGACUGCCGUGCCGAAGCUAACGCAUUAAGUAUCCCGCCUGGGGAGUACGGCCGCAAGGCUAAAACUCAAAGGAAUUGACGGGGGCCCGCACAAGCGGCGGAGCAUGCGGAUUAAUUCGAUGCAACGCGAAGAACCUUACCAAGGCUUGACAUGCACGGGAAGCCACCAGAGAUGGUGGUCUCUUUGGACACUCGUGCACAGGUGGUGCAUGGUUGUCGUCAGCUCGUGUCGUGAGAUGUUGGGUUAAGUCCCGCAACGAGCGCAACCCUCGUCCCAUGUUGCCAGCGGGUUAUGCCGGGGACUCAUGGGAGACUGCCGGGGUCAACUCGGAGGAAGGUGGGGAUGACGUCAAAUCAUCAUGCCCCUUAUGUCUUGGGCUUCACGCAUGCUACAAUGGCCGGUACAAAGGGCUGCGAUACCGUAAGGUGGAGCGAAUCCCAAAAAGCCGGUCUCAGUUCGGAUUGGGGU
Molecule: ribosomal RNA, 530 nt
Filed under: uncultured bacterium
Lineage: Bacteria
Description: bacterial SSU rRNA
Rfam family: Bacterial small subunit ribosomal RNA
Source: RNAcentral